ACCUUACAAGCCAUGAACCGGAGCUGGUUUUAACAACUUCACAACUCGUUUAGGAAACUGUGUUGGGAGGUUUUUUCAAUCACUCUUUCCUCAAGAACCUAACUUCCGUGGUAGGAGAGUUGUAACGUUCCAUAACCAGCGUGACUUUAUAUUUUUCAGACACCAUCGUUACAUAUUGGACAUAAAGAAAGACAAACAAAGUGGUGCGAAAGGAAAAAAAGGUGUUGCUAAAGAGAGAGUGAAGGAUGCUAGACUGGAGCUAGUUUGGGUUUCUAGAGCGCUGCUUAUUGAUCCUACUUUGCUUGGUAAAUUUUUUUUUUUUUCUUAAGAGCAUCUUUAUCCAAGGAUACCAGAGGGGUUCUUAGCAUGUGGGUUCCGCGUAGGACCCAUUUUUUUUUUAAGAAACCGGUUACCAAAACUACCAAAUAGUAGUUGGUCCUUAAGGGUUUCUUACACUGUUCACGGGCUCCACUGACACGCGGCGGACCGCAAUUGGUUCGUUUUUAAUUUUUUUUCUAAAUUCGAAAAAUUAAAAAAAAAAAAAAAUUAAGAAAC
Brassica napus (rape) is the source of this 555-nucleotide long non-coding RNA. RefSeq lists it as uncharacterized. Lineage: Eukaryota; Viridiplantae; Streptophyta; Magnoliopsida; Brassicales; Brassicaceae. The record is from RefSeq and is a predicted model, not a curated record. The transcript is spliced from 3 exons.